Long non-coding RNA from Scylla paramamosain (green mud crab), 1171 nucleotides. RefSeq lists it as uncharacterized. The record is from RefSeq and is a predicted model, not a curated record. The transcript has 3 exons. NCBI's taxonomy places the organism in Eukaryota, Metazoa, Arthropoda, Malacostraca, Decapoda, Portunidae.
ACCCAGCCGUUAGCAGGAAGGCGGCACAACAACGUCAGCGGCGCACCUACAGAGUGAGAAGAGAUAUUUUCGCUGAGUACGACGAUGCUGAGUUACUGAAAAGAUUCAGAUUGGACCGUGCUGGUAUUGUUGCAGUGACUGAUAUAGUGAGAGACAAGCUGCAAAGUAAAACUGAAAGAAAUAGAGCCUUGACCCCUGAGAUGGUGGCCAUCACAUUACGAUAUUUAGCCACAGGAAAAAUGCAACAGUGCAGUUGUGAUGAUUUUGGAACAACGCAGCCCACUAUCAGCCGUGCAAUAUCACAGACAAUUGAUGCACUGGCUGACCCAGAAAGUAAUCUGCCAGUUCGUGGCUUUCCCUCACACCCAGCGUGAAGUGCAGCAAAAACAGGCAGAGUUCAUGCAAGUAACUCAGUUUCCCGGUGUUGUGGGAGUGAUUGAUGGUACUCAUAUAAGAAUUGUGUCUCCUCAUGUCGAUGAACAUGUAUAUGUGAACAGGAAACGCUAUCACAGCAUAAAUGUGCAAGUAGUAUUUGAUGCUCACUAUAAGAUUCUUGACAUUGUGGCAAGGUGGCCUGGCUCAGUCAACGAUGCAAGAAUACUAGAUAAGUCAGCACUCAAACUGAUGUUUGAGGAACAACAUGUACCUGCAGGAUGCUACCUUCCCGGGGACAGUGGCUAUCCCUGUAAGCAGUGGCUCCUCACUCCUUACCUUCACCCUCAAACUGUUGCACAAGCUAAUUAUAACAGUUCCAGUACCUUACGAUGCAGCCGAGGGGACUGACGCCACCACCACCACUGCCACCACCGCCACAACAAGGGUUAUUCAAAUGGGGAACAUGCUUCAGGUGUUGCCCCAAGAUGCCUCAGCCCCGCAGCCCCACUUCCCCAUGAUAGUGCAGGCAGGGAAUGUCAUACAGGUUGUUCCAGCUGACAACACGCAGGUAUUAGGGGCAGAAGUCGUUGGAGUUGGUCGGGUCAUGCAAGUGGUCGGAGUCCCAGGCUUUCCCCCCGACCCCAGCCCCAGACCCCUGCCCCAGCCACCCCUCUCCCUGUGACCCCUGCCCAGUCAUCCCUCACCCCCUCCUGCCCCCCUGCGGUGCUGCCAGCGGGGGUGAUGGGAGGUGGAGGUGGGCCACACACACCUGGGUUAGCUGUGGCUUGGCUUAUCU